AAUUAUGGACAACACAAAAAUAUUUAUUAAAAUUUAAAAACUGUUAUUCUGCACGUUCUGCAACUAAUAUUAACAUACUAGAAACUCUAGAAGAUUUUGGAAUUAGAGACGACAAUGUUUUCAUAGUUGCAUAUCCAAAAUCUGGUUCCAUCUGGACUCAGCAAAUAUUAAGCUUACUUUAUUUUGAAGGGCAUCGUAACAAAACUGAAAUUGUGUCCACAAUUGAGAGAGUCCCCUUCUUUGAAUACAGAAUGAAGCCAGACGACUUUGUCAAGAGACCAUCCCUUUGCCUCUUCAUUUCCCACAUCCCAUAUUAUUUAGCACCAAAAGGUCUCAAGAACAAAAAGGCAAAAUAUGUCACAGAAAUAGUUAAGGACCUUUUGCACAAAUACUUUCUUCAAAUAUUGUUUAAAUAUUUCUUCGAAUGUUGUUGUCCAGCCCCACUCAUUCAUAUCCUUUCAAAUGUGAUUAUUAUAAACUUUACGAUCUUGUUUUGCACAUUAAAAAUAUAUGGAAUUAUAGGUAUAUACAUAAAUUGGAUCACAACACACAUUGUUUUCAGUGUAACUAUAUAAUGUAUAGCAAAAUUUUUUUAUGUCAGCACAUAAAAUUCUAUUCGUUUUUAGUGGCCUAGUAGGAUUUUAUUUUAUAGCUAUAUAAUCCUGAAUGUGUAUUGAUGGACAGGUAGGUUGCAGCAAAUGUGUAUUACAUUGAAAUAAACAUUCUUAGAGAUCUUUUUUUUUGCACUU
Molecule: long non-coding RNA, 749 nt
Organism: Herpailurus yagouaroundi (jaguarundi)
Lineage: Eukaryota; Metazoa; Chordata; Mammalia; Carnivora; Felidae
Exons: 2
Source: RefSeq, a predicted model, not a curated record